Long non-coding RNA from Triticum dicoccoides, 689 nucleotides. RefSeq lists it as uncharacterized. The record is from RefSeq and is a predicted model, not a curated record. NCBI's taxonomy places the organism in Eukaryota, Viridiplantae, Streptophyta, Magnoliopsida, Poales, Poaceae. The transcript has 3 exons.
CUCGCCCAGAUCCCCUUCUCCCCGAGCAUCAUAGCAACCCCACCGGCCAGCUCGCCGAUGUCCAUCUACAUGACGCUCGGCCUGGUAGCCGCUAGAGCACGUGGUAAAACCCUGGAAGAGCUCAUGGCCCUGCUUGGCGCCUCGUCCCCCGCCAAGGUCGCCCGGUUCCUGAGCAGCCUCGCCCCCGACCCAUCCUGCCUACACGCAUACCGCCGCAGUCGUGCAUGGCGGAGAUACGUACAGUUGACUCGCCGAGCUACAACACACACUUUGCCUCCCUCGUCGCCACCGCUACUGCGUCAUGGCCACUGGAACGAUCCUAUUCGGCGCCAACGACAUGUCCAAGAUCGACCGAGAGCGCGUUUUAGCAUGCCCCGUCGACGAGUAGGAAGCAAAGUUUGUUGCACAAUGCCAUGAGGAAUAGCGGAGUGGUGAUCUUCGCUUUACCAAGGGCUUCUCUGCGGCCAUCGAGGGCCAGUGUAUAGAUGGAGACGACAACAACGAGGUGGCUGCUAGGGGUAGCGGCGGCAAUGGUGAGAACCUCGACCGACAGCAACAACGUCCCUCUCUCCCAUCAGCGGCUAUGCCACAAUUCUACUCAAGAACUAAAACAAUAUUGAUAUAAUCAGGAAGCAACUAACAUGAAUAUGUGCUUAUGUGUCGGUGCUACUACUGAAGCAACAAUGAAA